Molecule: long non-coding RNA, 2284 nt
Organism: Papaver somniferum (opium poppy)
Lineage: Eukaryota; Viridiplantae; Streptophyta; Magnoliopsida; Ranunculales; Papaveraceae
Exons: 2
Source: RefSeq, a predicted model, not a curated record
CUCUCCCCAAUCAUUUCAGACCUGAAAUUGAGAAAAGCAGCAGCGCUGCUGUUUUUGUUUACGUGAUAUGAUAUUCAAGAAAUAGAGAGAAGAUUUGAAGACAGGGAGAAGAUGAUGAAUCGAACUUCAGUUUGGAUGAUUUAUCAAAAGAAGAAGGAGAAAUUAACAAGAAACCUGCUGAAAAUGAUGAAGUAUCGAUCUAUGAAGGAGUAUGAUAAAAUGAAGAAUUAGGUCGCGGAUAUGAAGAAUCAAACGAUGGGUUAAUGGCAGAAAUUGAACCUAGGGAGAUGUUGUUAUUGUGCGGCUGUAAUGGAAUCAGAGAUGGGUUAGAUGGAGGAAGAAGAUAUGGUGCUGUGGUUUUUCCGGGGACAAGAAGAAUGAAGUUGCUGGUGGAUUCGAGAAUUACUGGGUUAGUUACUUUUGUUGGUGGUAAACAGAAGAAUGAUGAAUCGAGAUGAUGAUGGUUGAAAUUGAUUUGGGUUUGAACACAGAGCAGACGGGGUUUGAAUUGAUUUCUGUUUAAUCGAGAAAAGAGAUGGAGGUGCUGAUUAGGUUUUGCUGUGAUGGAGAAAUUGAACAGAGAAAUGGGUUGGUGACGAAUUGAUUUUUUUUAUUGUUGUUGAUUUACCGGCAGAGAAUUAGGAAGAGCCGGUGAUGAUGUGAAGCCCUAUUGUUGAAUGAAGUGAAGCAUGGAACAACGACUUGAAAUAAAUAGAUGUAUGUGUUAGGAAUGAUAGAGGGAGAAGAAUUUGGCCUGAGAAAUGCUCAAUAAACAGCCGAAACUUGGUCGGAUAUUUUUCCUAAUGAGUCAACUCGUACUGGCGAUGAUUUGAUUCUUGGGUGAGCCUGAUGACCGAUCCAUCCAUAAUUCAGCUGAAUAAGACCCAGUCAGUCGAGUUAGGUUAGCUGACCAGGGAGCUGACUUAGUGACUGAAGCUUGAAUUUUGACUCAUCUGGCUAACAAAGACCGUUACCUAUAAGGCUGCACAAGAACCAGUCACUUGGCCCUGUACCGGACUAGAACCGGAAAAAUCGGACCGGAACCGGUGUAGGCGGUACAGGGACUGAAUAUGAGAACCGGUAUAGGACUGGAUACAGGGAACGGUUCUUGGAGAAGUACCGGUCUGUACCGGCUUGAAAGUCCCGGUUAAUAAGAGUCGUUGAUUAUAAUUUAUGGAUUGAUCUUAACCAUCCAUUUUAGGCUAGGUUUAUAAGAAAAUUUCCGAUCUGCUUCUCAUUUUUAUUUUUAUUUUCACUUUCAGUUUUAGUUCUUCUUCACUACGAAGAAGAAUCUCACGAUUCUCACCAUCGCCUUCUUCCCUUCUACUGAAGAGUCUCACCAUCCUUCUUUACUUCUUAUUUCUACAUCUUAUUUUGUUCUUCUUCUCUGUUCACCUCUUCUUCUACGUUCUUCUUCUUCAUCUGGUUUAGGGUUCUUAUGUUUUUCAUCUGCUACUGCUAGCUACUAAGAAACUAAUUGCAAGUAAUUGUGUUCCAUUGAAAUAUUGAUUUGGUGAAGACGUGACAGCAACCGGUGGAAACAAAUUAAUUGGAAAGUGUAAAUGGGUCUGGUAGAGUUUGAGCUGGAGAACUUGAAUUGGUGAUGGUCUGUUAGUUGCUGAUACAAGUAACUGGUGGUAGUAUACUGCUCGAAUUACAGAAGAAGAGGGUUGGGUUUGAGCUGAACUUGAAGAAGAGAACAUGAAGAAGGUUGCUGUUGAAGGAGGGAUUAAAUAGGCACUGGUGGUUGGUUUCUAUUGCAGUGAUGGAGAUUUAAACGGUUUGUGAAUGUAUGCUUUACAAGGAAAGACCAUGAGGCAGUGAAUGAAAGAAUGAAGUUGAAGUGUAAUGAGUUGUAGGUAAUGGUGUUGAUGCUGUGUUGUUAAUGGAGGACAUCAAGAUAAUAACUGGUGGUAUUGGCUGUGAGUUAUUGAAGCAACAGAGGUGAAUGGGUCAGAUGCAACUGUUGUGCAGGCAAUAAGUUACAGAAGGAGUUGGAGGUAAUGGUGAACUUGACUUGCAUAUGGUGCUGAUUUUGGUAUUUAGAGAAUGGUGUUGGUGGAUGGAUUGUUAGAGCAGGUAGAAUGAGUGGGUUGGUGCAGCGAAGCAGCUGCAGCUAUUGCUUGAACUGGUUAUUACGAUUUGAAUUGAUUUUGACUUAGUUUUAGGCGAGAAAAACCAUGGAGAAGAUUGAUGUUUCUUCCAUUGGUUUGUAUAAUUGAAUGAAUGCUUGUUAACUGAUACCCAGAACUAUGGAAUUACAAAAAAAUUUGGUUAGCUGCAA